This 483-nucleotide ribosomal RNA is filed under the name uncultured bacterium. RNAcentral describes it as "SSU rRNA". It matches the Rfam family "Bacterial small subunit ribosomal RNA", at positions 26 to 523 of the family's 1533-position model. The record is from RNAcentral.
AGGACGAACGCUGGCGGCGUGCUUAACACAUGCAAGUCGAGCGGUAAGGCCCUUUCGGGGGUACACGAGCGGCGAACGGGUGAGUAACACGUGGGUGACCUGCCCUUAGCUCUGGGAUAAGCCUGGGAAACUGGGUCUAAUACCGGAUAUGACCUCGCGAUGCAUGUCGUGGGGUGGAAAGCCUUGUGCGGCUAGGGGAUGGGCCCGCGGCCUAUCAGCUUGUUGGUGGGGUGAUGGCCUACCAAGGCGACGACGGGUAGCCGGCCUGAGAGGGCGACCGGCCACACUGGGACUGAGACACGGCCCAGACUCCUACGGGAGGCAGCAGUGGGGAAUCUUGCGCAAUGGGCGAAAGCCUGACGCAGCGACGCCGCGUGAGGGAUGACGGCCUUCGGGUUGUAAACCGUCUUUCAGCCCUGACGAAGCGAAAGUGACGGUAGGGCAGAAGAGCACCGGCCAACUACGCGCCAGCAGCCGCGGUAA